RNAcentral lists this ribosomal RNA (423 nucleotides) under Ilumatobacteraceae bacterium. RNAcentral describes it as "bacterial SSU rRNA". It matches the Rfam family "Bacterial small subunit ribosomal RNA", at positions 1 to 416 of the family's 1533-position model. The record is from RNAcentral. Lineage: Bacteria; Bacillati; Actinomycetota; Acidimicrobiia; Acidimicrobiales; Ilumatobacteraceae.
UUGACGGAGAGUUUGAUCCUGGCUCAGGACGAACGCUGGCGGCGUGCUUAACACAUGCAAGUCGAACGAGGUCCAACCGAACUUCGGUUUGGUGACGACCUAGUGGCGAACGGGUGCGUAACACGUGAGAAACCUGCCCCGGUCUCUGGGAUAACAGUCGGAAACGACUGCUAAUACCGGAUACCGUCGGACCACCGCAUGGUGGACCGACGAAAGGGUUACCGGAUCGGGAGGGUCUCGCGGCCUAUCAGCUUGUUGGUGAGGUAACGGCUCACCAAGGCAUUGACGGGUAGCUGGUCUGAGAGGAUGAUCAGCCACACUGGGACUGAGACACGGCCCAGACUCCUACGGGAGGCAGCAGUGGGGAAUAUUGCACAAUGGGCGAAAGCCUGAUGCAGCAACGCCGCGUGCGGGAAGAAGGCC